RNAcentral lists this ribosomal RNA (448 nucleotides) under uncultured bacterium. RNAcentral describes it as "bacterial SSU rRNA". It matches the Rfam family "Bacterial small subunit ribosomal RNA", at positions 329 to 794 of the family's 1533-position model. The record is from RNAcentral.
AGCCAGACUCCACGGGAGGCAGCAGUGGGGAAUAUUGCACAAUGGGGGAAACCCUGAUGCAGCGACGCCGCGUGAGUGAAGAAGUAUUUCGGUAUGUAAAGCUCUAUCAGCAGGGAAGAAAAUGACGGUACCUGAUUAAGAAGCCCCGGCUAACUACGUGCCAGCAGCCGCGGUAAUACGUAGGGGGCAAGCGUUAUCCGGAUUUACUGGGUGUAAAGGGAGCGUAGACGGUGAUGCAAGUCAGAAGUGAAAGCCCGGGGCUCAACUCCGGGACUGCUUUUGAAACUGUGUAACUGGAGUGCAGGAGAGGGAAGCGGAAUUCCUGGUGUAGCGGUGAAAUGCGUAGAUAUCAGGAGGAACACCAGUGGCGAAGGCGGCCUACUGGACGGUGACUGACGCUGAGGCUCGAAAGCGUGGGGAGCAAACAGGAUUAGAUACCCCGGUAAAU